CCUACGGGAGGCAGCAGUGGGGAAUUUUGGACAAUGGGCGCAAGCCUGAUCCAGCCAUGCCGCGUGCAGGAUGAAGGCCUUCGGGUUGUAAACUGCUUUUGUACGGAACGAAACGGCCUUUUCUAAUAAAGAGGGCUAAUGACGGUACCGUAAGAAUAAGCACCGGCUAACUACGUGCCAGCAGCCGCGGUAAU
Molecule: ribosomal RNA, 194 nt
Filed under: uncultured bacterium
Lineage: Bacteria
Also listed under: 1 other name
Description: partial 16S ribosomal RNA
Rfam family: Bacterial small subunit ribosomal RNA
Source: RNAcentral